AACGAACGCUGGCGGCAUGCCUAACACAUGCAAGUCGAACGCCUGUAGCAAUACAGGAGUGGCGCACGGGUGAGUAACGCGUGGGAACCUGUCCUGGAGUGGGGGAUAACCGAGGGAAACCUCGGCUAAUACCGCAUACGACCUGAGGGUGAAAGAUUUAUCGCUCUAGGAGGGGCCCGCGUCGGAUUAGCUAGUUGGUGAGGUAACGGCCCACCAAGGCUAUGAUCCGUAGCUGGUCUGAGAGGAUGAUCAGCCACACUGGGACUGAGA
This 270-nucleotide ribosomal RNA is filed under the name uncultured bacterium. RNAcentral describes it as "partial 16S ribosomal RNA". It matches the Rfam family "Bacterial small subunit ribosomal RNA", at positions 29 to 324 of the family's 1533-position model. The record is from RNAcentral.